RNAcentral lists this ribosomal RNA (641 nucleotides) under uncultured bacterium. RNAcentral describes it as "bacterial SSU rRNA". It matches the Rfam family "Bacterial small subunit ribosomal RNA", at positions 750 to 1390 of the family's 1533-position model. The record is from RNAcentral.
GGAGCGAAAGGGUGGGGAGCAAACAGGCUUAGAUACCCUGGUAGUCCACCCCGUAAACGUUGGGAACUAGUUGUGGGGGCCUUUCCACGGUCUCCGUGACGCAGCUAACGCAUUAAGUUCCCCGCCUGGGGAGUACGGCCGCAAGGCUAAAACUCAAAGGAAUUGACGGGGACCCGCACAAGCGGCGGAGCAUGCGGAUUAAUUCGAUGCAACGCGAAGAACCUUACCAAGGCUUGACAUAUAGAGGAAAGUUCUGGAAACAGUUCCCCCGCAAGGUCUCUAUACAGGUGGUGCAUGGUUGUCGUCAGCUCGUGUCGUGAGAUGUUGGGUUAAGUCCCGCAACGAGCGCAACCCUCGUUCUAUGUUGCCAGCACGUAAUGGUGGGAACUCAUGGGAUACUGCCGGGGUCAACUCGGAGGAAGGUGGGGAUGACGUCAAAUCAUCAUGCCCCUUAUGUCUUGGGCUUCACGCAUGCUACAAUGGCCGGUACAAAGGGCUGCAAUACCGUGAGGUGGAGCGAAUCCCAAAAAGCCGGUCCCAGUUCGGAUUGAGGUCUGCAACUCGACCUCAUGAAGUCGGAGUCGCUAGUAAUCGCAGAUCAGCAACGCUGCGGUGAAUACGUUCCCGGGUCUUGUACACAC